Molecule: ribosomal RNA, 442 nt
Filed under: Escherichia coli
Lineage: Bacteria; Pseudomonadati; Pseudomonadota; Gammaproteobacteria; Enterobacterales; Enterobacteriaceae
Description: bacterial SSU rRNA
Rfam family: Bacterial small subunit ribosomal RNA
Source: RNAcentral
GUAAUGUCUGGGAAACUGCCUGAUGGAGGGGGAUAACUACUGGAAACGGUAGCUAAUACCGCAUAAUGUCGCAAGACCAAAGAGGGGGACCUUCGGGCCUCUUGCCAUCGGAUGUGCCCAGAUGGGAUUAGCUAGUAGGUGGGGUAACGGCUCACCUAGGCGACGAUCCCUAGCUGGUCUGAGAGGAUGACCAGCCACACUGGAACUGAGACACGGUCCAGACUCCUACGGGAGGCAGCAGUGGGGAAUAUUGCACAAUGGGCGCAAGCCUGAUGCAGCCAUGCCGCGUGUAUGAAGAAGGCCUUCGGGUUGUAAAGUACUUUCAGCGGGGAGGAAGGGAGUAAAGUUAAUACCUUUACUCAUUGACGUUACCCGCAGAAGAAGCACCGGCUAACUCCGUGCCAGCAGCCGCGGUAAUACGGAGGGUGCAAGCGUUAAUCGG